This 443-nucleotide ribosomal RNA is filed under the name uncultured bacterium. RNAcentral's name for it is "partial 16S ribosomal RNA". It matches the Rfam family "Bacterial small subunit ribosomal RNA", at positions 338 to 795 of the family's 1533-position model. The record is from RNAcentral.
CCUACGGGAGGCAGCAGUGGGGAAUAUUGGGCAAUGGAGGCAACUCUGACCCAGCAACGCCGCGUGAGUGAUGAAGGUCUUCGGAUUGUAAAACUCUUUAAGUGGGGACGAAGAAAGUGACUGUACCCACAGAAUAAGCCUCGGCUAACUACGUGCCAGCAGCCGCGGUAAUACGUAGGAGGCAAGCGUUAUCCGGAAUGACUGGGCGUAAAGGUGGCGUAGGUGGUUUGACAAGUUGGUAGCGUAACUACGGGGCUCAACCUCGGCACUACUACCAAAACUGUUGGACUUGAGUGCAGGAGGGGCAAAUGGAAGUCCUAGUGUAGCGGUGGAAUGCGUAGAUAUUAGGAGGAACACCAGUGGCGAAGGCGAUUUGCUGGACUGUAACUGACACUGAGGCACGAAAGCGUGGGGAGCAAACAGGAUUAGAUACCCUAGUAGUC